RNAcentral lists this long non-coding RNA (347 nucleotides) under Mytilus galloprovincialis (Mediterranean mussel). Lineage: Eukaryota; Metazoa; Mollusca; Bivalvia; Mytilida; Mytilidae. The record is from RNAcentral.
CAUGAGAGGCUGUAAAACAGUUCUUUAUGUUUUAGAAAAUCUUGUUUUAUACUUUAAAAAAAUAAAUUGAUCUUUAAACUGAGCAAAAAUUUCUUGGAAUUUGGUCUUUUUAUUAAAUAUAAAAUCCAUUAAAAAUCUUAUUUUAAACCUAUACAGUAUAUAAGUGAUCCAUUCCAAAGGAAUUCAGAAUGUAAUGCACAGGUAUACAGGCCAAUAGGAUAGAUUAAACAUUUAUUCAACUAAAUGUGCACAGAUCAUUGGUCUGAAUGUCAUUUCCUAAACUUCUGACCAACAAAGUACAAACAAUUAAUGAUUAUUUUUCAUGUCAUUGAAGUGUUUACUUGAUG